GCCGAUCACAGCCCUGAACAAAAGCAUCCGAUACACAUUUGUCAGUCUGGUGGCUUUGGUGCCAUGACUGCCUACACAGGCCAAUGACAGCCACUCGGUUGUCACCAGACACGGUGUGAGGGAAGGGGGAGGGGACAGGGGAACUCUCAGAGCAAACAAUCACAAACACACUGUGAAAUCGAAAAUAAAUUACAAAAACUAAAUAGUAUAAAUAAAUUAAAAUUUAAGUUAAGAAGAGUCCCACAGUGUGGCUGUUUGGCAACAACCAGUCCAUAGAAGAGGUAGCUGUGGAGGUCACAGGGAUGUUCCCAAGGCUCAGAAGAAAAGGCCAGGCAGCUUCUGAUCCCCGAGCAGUUGAGGAAGGCAGGCUUGCUCAGACCAAGUGACUGGAAGGCAUUUGGGCGUUUUUGCUGAGAAAUGUCUCUUUGUUCCUGUCUGUAUCCUUCUUUCUCCUUGACUCUUCAUAGUGGGUUCUCUGUUUCUCUGUGUGAUCCAGAUACCUGAACGGACUGUUCUCUCAUCUCAGUUCUCUUCAGGGAAUUUUGUCUGGUUCAAGAAGUCAUACCCCAGCCCAAGAGAAGCCUUGGACAUCUCUCAUAAGACAUCCAAGGGACAGAGCUCCUGGGAGACCUAGAGUGAGCUGGAGAGUGAACAACAUACCCCACUGGGAAGUAAGCAGCCCUGGAUUCUGCCUCUUGCUAACUGAUUCGUUUCGAACCCUGUUUUUCUAUCUGUAAAAGGGACUGUAACUCCCCUGCCCCUGCCUAGAUUCUCAUAUCUGGAGACUAGGGGGCUAAGACCCCUUCUAGAGAUAAAAAUAAAAGUCUUGAAGAGAAAGACCAAGAUGUUUGGCAGCCCUUUAAGAAGUUCUCUUUUCUCUUGGGGGCUUUUAGGCCACAAGAAAAGAUUGAUGUGGUCUAACCAUGGCCAGAGAGUGGUGAUACCCACAACGAAACUCAGACUCACGUGAUGCAGAGAACUGGUUGCAGAGAGCCAUGGUGCAGAGGAGGACAGCAAGGGCAGCAGUGGAGACCUGCAUGAUUCUGAGCAGGUGACGGAAUGUGGGCUCGAGUGUCAGCAGAGCCAAGAAAGGACUGACCACUGUCUGCUGCCCG
This 1115-nucleotide non-coding RNA is filed under the name Pan troglodytes (chimpanzee). Lineage: Eukaryota; Metazoa; Chordata; Mammalia; Primates; Hominidae. The record is from RNAcentral.